CUGCAUGAGGCGCCUUUUUGACUUUAUGGUUGUUAUGUUUACUAUCUCUACGCUAAUCUUGGGAUCUUUUAUUCUUUCUUUCUCUCUUAUUUCUUUUUUCCUCUUUCAAAUAUUUUCAAAAAUCUAACAUUAUAUCUGGUGCACACUCUUUGUUUCAGAAUUAUUUUCAUACUCCCCUUAUCGUUAUUCUUGGCAUCUUUAUACUUCCUCCCUACCUUUCUCUUCCUUCUCCUCUUCUCUUCUCUUCUCUUUCUUUUCUCUUUCUCUCUCUCCAUCUUUCUUCUUUCUCACCUAGGAUCGUACUCUUGCAUCUUUUUCUUUUAUCGAUUGG
This 331-nucleotide transfer RNA is filed under the name Entamoeba moshkovskii. RNAcentral's name for it is "tRNA-Arg". The record is from RNAcentral. Lineage: Eukaryota; Evosea; Mastigamoebida; Endamoebidae.